Molecule: unclassified non-coding RNA, 431 nt
Filed under: Schizosaccharomyces pombe (fission yeast)
Lineage: Eukaryota; Fungi; Ascomycota; Schizosaccharomycetes; Schizosaccharomycetales; Schizosaccharomycetaceae
Description: partial internal transcribed spacer region
Rfam family: Eukaryotic small subunit ribosomal RNA (bases 1-46)
Source: RNAcentral
AAGUCGUAACAAGGUUUCCGUAGGUGAACCUGCGGAAGGAUCAUUAUCAUCCUAAAUAAACAUUUAAAAUUUUUUUAACGAAAAUUUUUAAUGUUUAUACCAUAAACCAAUCGUGAACCGUUUUUGCCUCCAAUGAGGCAAGAAAGAAAGAGCUUUCAGCGAGUGUAUUUUUGGUCUUUUUCUAACAAGACAAAAAAAUGCCAUGGAAUUAGGAAAAUUUUCCUUUUUUCACGUUGUUCUCUUUUUUUUCCUCAUUGGUUGUAUUUUCAUUUUUUAUUUACCUUUAGAACAACUCAUUUCAUAUAAAUUAUGAACUGAAUUAAUUUUUUUUUAUUUCAAUCCCAUUAAAUGGUUUUUGAAAUUAAAAAAAAAGAUAAAAUUCUAAUGAAAAAUAAGAGAAACAACUCUUAGCAACGGAUAUCUUGGUUCUC